CAGCAGUAGCCGCGGUAAUACGUAGGGUGCAAGCGUUAAUCGGAAUUACUGGGCGUAAAGCGUGCGCAGGCGGUUUGUUAAGACAGAUGUGAAAUCCCCGGGCUCAACCUGGGAACUGCAUUUGUGACUGGCAAGCUAGAGUAUGGCAGAGGGGGGUGGAAUUCCGCGUGUAGCAGUGAAAUGCGUAGAUAUGCGGAGGAACACCGAUGGCGAAGGCAGCCCCCUGGGCCAAUACUGACGCUCAUGCACGAAAGCGUGGGGAGCAAACAGGAUUAGAUACCCCCGUAGUCCCUGUCUCUUAUAC
RNAcentral lists this ribosomal RNA (304 nucleotides) under uncultured bacterium. Its description in RNAcentral is "partial 16S ribosomal RNA". It matches the Rfam family "Bacterial small subunit ribosomal RNA", at positions 506 to 807 of the family's 1533-position model. The record is from RNAcentral.